ACGGGUGAGUAACGCGUGGGUAACCUGCCUCACACUGGGGGAUGACAGUUAGAAAUAGCUGCUAAUACCGCAUAAGCGCACAGCUUCGCAUGAAGCAGUGUGAAAAACUCCGGUGGUACAAGAUGGACCCGCGUCUGAUUAGCUGGUUGGUGAGGUAACGGCCCACCAAGGCAACGAUCAGUAGCCGGCCUGAGAGGGUGAACGGCCACAUUGGGACUGAGACACGGCCCAAACUCCUACGGGAGGCAGCAUG
This 253-nucleotide ribosomal RNA is filed under the name uncultured bacterium. RNAcentral describes it as "partial 16S ribosomal RNA". It matches the Rfam family "Bacterial small subunit ribosomal RNA", at positions 102 to 353 of the family's 1533-position model. The record is from RNAcentral.